Molecule: long non-coding RNA, 2284 nt
Organism: Homo sapiens (human)
Lineage: Eukaryota; Metazoa; Chordata; Mammalia; Primates; Hominidae
Gene: EIF1B-AS1
Product: EIF1B antisense RNA 1
Source: Ensembl
UACAAAUAUGGCGUUUUGGACGGGCUCGAUAGUUUGCUUGGCCUCUACUCAAGGAAUGCUGAUGGUAUAGCAAGAAGGUAUUCUGAGCAUUAUAUCAAUGGGGAAGUUCUAGAUCUUUUGCAAAGCAGGAGAGUCAUCCUAGGGCAUCCAGAGGCCUUCAGGGUGGCCUGAAGUCUCCCACCGCACCACCUUUGGGUUAACCUAGCCUGUCCCACAGAAGAUGAUGAAGUUGGGUCUGGAGGCAAGCUGACUCAGAUGGAUUCUCGAUUUUAUGAUGCUGGACUGGAGAUGGGUUUCACCAUGUUGCCCAAGCUAGUCUCGAACUCGUGGACUCAAGCAAUCCACCUGCCUCAGCCUCCCAAAGUGCCUUACAGGCGUGAGCCACCGCACCUGGCUGAACUGUUGUGGAGACUGAAGAGGUCGUAUGUACUCAUUGGUGCAGCUACAAGACAGUGAUGCCUUCUGAAGUCUGGGUUCCCAGUGACUACGUCUAUGGAGCAGAGCCCUUCUAAACUAUAAUGAACAUGUCGUGAGCCAGAAAUAAACUUGUGUUAUGUUAAGCUACUGGGAUUUGGGGGACUGUUUGUUCCCUCAGUACAGUCUAGACUAACCUGACGUAUUAACAUAAGUGUCUACCUAACACAACAUGCCAACCAUUUAAUUAUACUCAACUCAAUUCAACCUGACUCUUCCUUAGCUGGAUAUCAAUUAUAUAGAAUAAAGGCUUUACAAGGGUAAGGGUCUUAGUAUUGUUCACUAAUGUAUGCCAAGUUCUUAGAACAGUGCCUGGGACAAUAUUAUUUGUGAUAUGAGUGCAUUUUAAAAGUUUUAAUAAUCUCAGCACUUUGGGAGGCCGAGGCGGGUGGAUCACAAGGUCAGGAGAUCGAGACCAUCCUGGCUAACGCAGUGAAACCCUGUCUCUACUAAAAAUACAAAAAAAUUAGCCAGGCAUGGUGGCGGGCUCCUGUAGUCCCAGCUACUGGGGAGGCUGAGGCAGGAGAAUGGCGUGAACCCAGGAGGCAGAGCUUGCAGUGAGCCGAGAUUGUGCGACUGCACUCCAGCCUGGGUGACAGAGCGAGACUCUGUCUCAAAAAAAAAAAAAAAAAGUUUUAAUAAGACUCUGAGUGGGGCUUUCAAAAACCAGAAUGUUGAAGAUCUACAAAGGUCUUAAAAUAGCUCAGAUGGGUUUAGAUACAGUCAGGACUGCUAGCUAUGUUUCAUGUUGAUAAGAGAGAACUCCAAUUUUUUAGGUCCAUCCUAUAGCCCAGCUGAUGAAAAGAAGAUAAAAUUCAGAGAUGGAUGAAACACAUUUCAUCCUCAAGGCCUUUCUUGUGUUCUUUCAUUUUUAAAUUCCUCUGCUAUUACUCUUUACGGAGAAGAGAACAGAGCAAAAUGUAUUCCUUUGAAUAGUGUAAUUUAAAAAUUACUCCAGAGCAAAGUCAAAAGAUGUGAUAUGUAGGCCGCUAGCCUACACUUCUAACUUAAGUUUUUAGUUUUAAUUGUGAAGUAUAAUGUUGUUUUUAAAUAUAGAAAUUUCAAGCUCUAGAACCAUCACACUAAGAUGACAAUGGUAAUUACACUGACAGCUGCAGAUAUUAGCAUGAACUCAAUACCAAAAAUAAAUCAGACCAUGAAUAAUGGAAAUAAAAGAAAACUGGCAGUUUUAAGAAAUUCCAGAAAUAGAGCAGAGAAAAUGGAGGGAAGAAAUUAUCAAAGAAGUAGAAUGAAAAUUUCCAGAAGUGGAGAAAAGAAAUGUCCAGAUUAAAAGUGCUAAAUAAAAACAUGCCAUUGUGAAUUUUUAAAACAGUGAUGAUGGAGAGAAGAGAGAGAGAGAAAAUUAGAGACAGGGAGAGGGCAGUGAGGAAGAGAAAGAGAAAGAGAAAAGGUAACUUACAAGUAAUGGAAAUGAAAUUAGCAUCAGACUUCUUAAUAAUAACACUGGCUAUUAGAAGAUAGUGAAAUGUUGCUUUAAGAUUCCCUCCUAUGUCCAAGUAAAAUGAUGAUAAUAACAAAUAAUUCCAAUAUGCAGACAAUAGUUACUAUCUAUUGACUAUUUUAUCAAGUGUCAGGAACUGGGCUAAAUUCAUCACAUUGAUCUCAUUUAAUGCUCAAAACAAAUUUAAAAGGUAACAUUAUUAUCCCCAUUUUACAUAUGAAGAAAUGAGAUGCAAAAAGAUUAAGUAACUUGUGAAAGGUCAGCUUUGGAGGCAAAAUGUGACAGUUUCCAAAAAUUAUAAAAAUACAAUGAUUAGGCAGUGAGACAUUAGUGUCAUAGCUAGCAUAC